GCGGACAGCUCACCCCCCGGGUCAUGAGGAUGCGGUCAACCUUCCAGACACGUCACACCGGCAGAGACUUAUAAAUACAAAAAGUCUAGCGGAGGAUACAGUGAGCGAGAAGGAUAUCACGAGAAGAGAGUCGAUAGGUUUGGUACAUCUAAGAGAUGAGGAGUUACAGAAGAGUACAUCGGUGGAGAGAGAAGGACACGCGCGACGUAUCAGAGGGAUGAGAAGCCGGGGAGGAAAUCUGCUCGAGGAGAAGAUUGGAGUUGAGUUUGGGCGAAUUACCAUGGAAGAGACCAAAGUUGCCUUAGUUGACUGGAGGGAGUUGUUGUGACAUAGAUGGGAUUACAACUCAUUAGAGGCAACCAAGAUGUCAUUGGAGGCGCCUCCAAUGCCACUUCAAUAAACGACCACUUCGACCAAAAUGCUAUAAAUAACGCCUUAGAGCUAGGAGUUCUAAAAUAGACUUAGUAUUCAUUUUCUAUACUUCAUUUUUAGCCUCCAAUUGCUGUAAGGGGCUUCUCCGCCUCCGACCUCUAUCGAAGGAGUUUUUUUUAUUACUUUUAUUGUUUUGGAUUAACAACCUUCUCGGUUGUAAACCAAAUAAAAUUCUGAGUCACUUACUAUU
Molecule: long non-coding RNA, 622 nt
Organism: Zingiber officinale
Lineage: Eukaryota; Viridiplantae; Streptophyta; Magnoliopsida; Zingiberales; Zingiberaceae
Exons: 2
Source: RefSeq, a predicted model, not a curated record